Protopterus annectens (West African lungfish) is the source of this 75-nucleotide small nucleolar RNA. RefSeq annotates it as small nucleolar RNA R38. The record is from RefSeq and is a predicted model, not a curated record. Lineage: Eukaryota; Metazoa; Chordata; Ceratodontiformes; Protopteridae. The transcript has a single exon.
CUGAGCUAAUGAUGAGUUGCGUUAUCCCUGUCUGAAAAAUCAGAUGAGGAGAAGUGUGGAACACUGAGAGCUCAG